AGAUCCCUGAGGAUCCCAGACACCCAGGGAUCUCAGAUCCCUGAGGAUCCCAGACACCCAGGGAUCUCAGAUCCCUGAGGAUCCCAGACACCCAGCUUUAAGUAUAAGGAACUAGUAGUAGGUUUAUUCCAUGCUAAAAAGAGAAGAGAUAAAACACAACAUUUCGGCUGUGAAUAAACCUAUUACUUGCAGAAUACGCAUGCCGACGCAGCUGCCCACCUGAACUGGUUUAAAUAUAAGGGCCCAUUUCAUUCCCCGCUGAAGUGCUGCUCCUCUUGGGGGGCCCAGCAGCCCUGCUGCCCAGCAGAUCAGGGGGAGGGGUGAGAAACUGCAGCGCCAAUUGAAUCAAGGGGGGGGGGGGACAAAGCGUGCAAGCGCCACCUACUGGUCCACCAGCACCACUUCCCGUAAUAAUUGAGCUUUCCUCAGUAGUUUCUCAUCCCAGGUCAGGCUCACGUUUUCCUUAGCUCCUGAUCAGACUGCAAGCUAGGAGCACUGGACUUCACAGGUAUGAGAACGUAAGACAGGCUACAAAGCGGCUUAGUCUGAGUGCUGUCAUCAUGCAGCCUUUCUCGAGAUCUAGGAAAUUAUUUGGGCAAAUUAGAGAAAAAAGUGCAGGAAAAUGAGCCCCAGACCUGUGAAGUCUCGGCAGGGGAAUAUGUCCUCGUGAUCUGUGUUGUCCAGAUGGUGGUGAGUAACAUCCUAGUAUAGACAAGCACCUCAAUCCCUGACACCCCAGCAGCUCCUCCCCCACCUCCCCAGACAAGAAGAGGAAAUCGGCUCACGGGUUUUCAAAAGUCGCCCGGUUCACACCACUGUUCGGCCAGCCUGAAACCCAGACAUCUCCCUUUCCUGCUCCCAGAUCAGUGUGCUGCAGUCAGAGCUGGAGACCCUGUCGACCCAGACAGCCUCCCUCAGAGAAGAGACGCGCUUGCUGAGGGAGCAGAUCCAGGACGUCAGGAAACAGCAUCGGGACAUAGUUUCAGUGUACAGGACUCACCUGCUGAGCGCAGCACAGGUAAUGUCCAUAAAGAUACAUGUUCUCUCACAGGCAGACACAUAAAUGCAUUUAGUGACUAAGCCUGCUGUAGACGUAAUGCAUUGGUCACCCCCAGUUUCUCAACAAAAUAAUAACCCAAACCUGGACAAUCGUUGAUUCCCCAGGACAAUUCCUGGUUCUGCAGAGCCACACUCCAGAGCAUUUUAAUUGGCCACCUUACAAAGACCUGGAGAUCAUGUAAUUGUUUUAUCUAUAUAUAGCAAAUAAUCCAUGCGAUGAGUCAGUAAUUUGUUAUGGGCAAGCUGGAAACCUUCGGGUAAGGAAAAAACGUUUUUUUUCCAAAUCAUCCCUCAAUUAAGCAUCUUUAUUUUACAGAUUCAAGCUAUUUGUUCCACAUCUUUAGGACGUUUCAACAUUUCAGCGCGUGAUCUGUGAAUCCUGCUGCCACUCUGGCACUUAACGGAACAGACAGCUCCCACAGCGCCACCCAGUGGUGGGCAACAGUAAUAGCCUUUCUUCUUCUGCAGGGAAUGAUGGACGAGGAGGUCUACUCCAUGCUUCUGUGCAUCCAUGGCAUGCAGAGAGAGGCUGUGUGCUGAGAGACUGACACCAUCCCCACUCCCACAAUGCACUCCUCCAAGUCAGAGCCCACACUUCCCCUUGACCAAUAAGGACUGUGGAAGACAGCAGACGUGCAUGGAGAGGGUACUGUGAUUGAUGGACACUGUGGUCUAAGACAGCAGCAUAUGAAGGCACCCAGAUCCCUGUAUAUGAAGCAGUCCUGACUGAUCACUGUUACCAUGUUUUUCUCCAUAUCAAACUGAAGCCUGUUCACUGUUGUCUCUGGUUUCUCCUUACACUGUGACAUAACCACAAAAAGUGCUGAAAUGUUUGUUCUUCAGAUUAAAUGUCUCACUCUGAUUGGGGGUGAUUGCACUUUGUUUUUCACAUAAUCUAACACUGCUCCAAACUUUUACGUUUUUUGCACGUUUAUCCAUUUCCGUAAAAUAAUUUAAAAUUGCUUUGGAUCAAGUGCAUUCUCAUAUGUUGGCUUCAGGCGUGUUACCCCAGCAUUGUGACCAAAUUCCCCCCCUGGCCCUUACCAAUCACACCCUCCUAAUAACCCCCCUCUCUGAACUGGCUUCUUCACUCUGCUCUCCUCCCCACUGAGAGCUGGUGUGUGGGGAGCGGACUGGCACAUCAUCCAGGUGGGGCUCCACACUGGUGCUGGUGGAGAGGAUCCCCAUUACAUGCAAACUCCAUACAGACAGCACUCCAGGUCUGCCUAUGGCUCGACUGGUAAUCUCUAUAAGAACAUAAUACAUCAAUCCUCUCUGAUUCAGAUGAAAAGAUGCCUGUCUAUAUACAUACUGUAAGCGCUGGCCCUAAAGUAAAGUAAAGUGCUUUGAGUGGAGUGUCCAGAGCUGUUUGAGAAAAGCACUACAUUACUACUGCUGAUGUCUGCCGUUGUGCUCUGCUGCCAACUGCUUGCUUGUCUUGUAAAACACACUCAACUGGUUGUUUGAUGGAGACAUCAAAGAUCAAUCACCAAUUUGAAGUUAUAAAAGGGUGGAUUAUGAUGCAAGAGUGCUGUGCUCCAUGCCCUUGACUUCAUAGUUCUGGUAACAGAGGUCACCUCCAACCGAUAAUGUAUUUGCUACAAAUGAAAGAAAAUACAUUCUGAUUGUGAUUGCACUGGAUAGUUACAUCUCAUUUCCUAUCAGCAA
RNAcentral lists this long non-coding RNA (2727 nucleotides) under Lepisosteus oculatus (spotted gar). RNAcentral's name for it is "lncRNA (ENSLOCG00000022242.1)". Lineage: Eukaryota; Metazoa; Chordata; Actinopteri; Semionotiformes; Lepisosteidae. The record is from RNAcentral.